GAUGAAGAACGCAGCGAAAUGCGAUAAGUAGUGUGAAUUGCAGAAUUCAGUGAAUCAUCGAAUCUUUGAACGCACAUUGCGCCCCUUGGUAUUCCAUGGGGCAUGCCUGUUCGAGCGUCAUUUGUACCUUCAAGCUCUGCUUGGUGUUGGGUGUUUGUCUCGCCUCUGCGUGUAGACUCGCCUUAAAACAAUUGGCAGCCGGCGUAUUGAUUUCGGAGCGCAGUACAUCUCGCGCUUUGCACUCAUAACGACGACGUCCAAAAGUACAUUUUUACACUCUUGACCUCGGAUCAGGUAGGGAUACCCGCUGAACUUAAGCAUAUCAAUAAGCGAGGA
This 336-nucleotide unclassified non-coding RNA is filed under the name soil metagenome. RNAcentral's name for it is "partial contains 5.8S ribosomal RNA, internal transcribed spacer 2, and large subunit ribosomal RNA". The stretch from base 1 to 120 matches the Rfam family "5.8S ribosomal RNA", at positions 35 to 154 of the family's 154-position model. The record is from RNAcentral.